UCUUAUAUUAACAGGUCUCAUCUUUUAUGAUCAUAUUUUCUUAUGGACUUUUAUGAUGCAACAAGAUAAAUUGUUAUGCCUUUAAAAUGUUUAAAGGACUAAACUUAAUGGAAAUACCUCCAAAGAUAUUUCUUUCUUUCUCAAUUAUAUAUACCUUCAUGGUUGUGAAGUCUGCGUGUUUAAUCCCGGGUCUUUAUAUAAAAGUGUCGGGUCUGGAUUUGACCUGCAGAUAAUUGCGUGUAACGGGUCGGUUCACUGUACUGAGCUGUGCGGUCAGUUGCAGGUCUGCGGGACUCUUAUUCUUGUCUUAACUAAUAUUGUGUUCAAAAUCAACUCAUGACAAAUAACUUUUGCCUCUAAUGCAAAAGCCCCACAUUUCUUGAUAUGUCAACAUAGAACAUACUGUAUGUGGCCCGUCUGGUCAGUUUUGUUCAUUUGUUUUAAUCUCUGAUUUAUAUGCAUGUCUGUGUCUGCUUGUUUGAACUGUCACUCAACCUCUCCCGCCAAAUUUAAUUUCUACAUGCCUGUCUUCUCUUUGUUUUUAUGUUUGUGUUGUGUGUGUGUGUGUGUGUGUGUGUUUGCGUUUGCAUUUUGGCAUGUAGUUCUGAUUUUGACCCCUUGGUUGUAAAUAUCUCUGAUGAAAUGACCAAAACUGCAGCGUGGAAAGCCGUGAACUCGAGCGCAGAGUCAUGUGUCCAACCAGUGAAGCGUAGUGAAAGCCAGGAGAAGAUGGCCUGCGUUAAAGUCGACAUCAGCCCAGAUACGCCAGGAGGUUCCAGUUCCGAGACCUUCCUGUGACAAAUGAACGCCCUCCUCCCCUCUUGAUACCUUCUCCCACACAACACUUCACCCCGCUGACGAGCACCAUCUUAGUGGCAAAGGGGGCAUAGAACUGGAGCAGCACAACCUGCCUGCAGUGCUCCCUUUUUCGGGCAGCAGACGAGCUCCCCCAGGGCUGCGAGUCCUCCUCCACUCAAGUCUUGAAGUGUGCAGCGCAUGUACAAAUGGCUGCCAUAUAAUGCACUGUAGAGAGCACAUCUCAGAGGAAUGCUACUGCCCACCGACGCUCACUGUCUAGGAAGUGUCUCCAUCUAGCAAUUUGUCACACAUUGAAACCACAGAUGCCAAAGGAAUGGGCCUCACUGGUGAGGAUCUUGGACUGUGUGAAAUUAAUUUGACUUUUAACCCACUCUACAUUUUCAUUUUAAUGUUACUGUUGUUUUAGCUGAUCACAGUACUGUUCAUUUUGGGUUCAUACACCAUGUGUUGCCCUGCACUGUUUGUUUCCAUGUAUUUUAGGUCGGAUUAAGACCCUUCACCGAACUACACCAGCUUCAAAACUCAUUUGAUUAAAAGCCACGCAGGUACCGUCAGUGUCGGCUAAUUUAUAUUUCAUCAUUUGUAUGGCACAGUAAAUGAGACAAACCAAAAUAGAAGUACAUUCAGAUAGAUACUACUACUACACCACACUACUACGUACAUCUUUGUAGUGUUUUUCAUGAAUGGUCUCUCCUGUCUGUAGGGGAACACUCAGUAUUAUUGCUGCUCAUAAGUUGGUCCGUUGUUUUCACUGUAAACAUCACUGUUCAUAGUGUAUGUUAUCUUAUAGAAAUAUUAUUAUGUAUGUAUACUUUGUUCUUUUAAUUUGUAACGUUACAGAAAACCUAUUUCAGAGGCCAUAUGAAGUCUGUACUGUUCAGUAAGCACUUUGCCAGUAUAGUUUGUUACCUAAAAUGGAUGUUAAUAAAAAAGAUGACUCCUCCCACCAUAUCUAUAAAUCUGUUGUUAAAACAACUCAGGAAUCUUGAAUGAUUUCUGACUGUGGUCACUUGAUUGAUUUUAUCACAAGGCAGUGAUAAUUAGCUGUCCACUGUAUUCCUUUCAUCGCUGGUAUCACAACUAUUUUAAUAAAUGCUGUAAAUCAUAAAUUAGAGUAAGUUGGUAAAUAAAAAAAAGAGAAUAUUCGUGACCCAGUUAGAUGCACCAGUUUUUAUACUGUCUGUAUUAUUGUUGGUAAUAGUGUGUGUGCGUGCGUGUGUGUGCGUGCGUGUGGUGUAAAGAUAAUUUCAUAUGUUUAGUGUUGCAAAUUAUUUUAUGCAAAAAUAUUUCUACAGUAAAUGUAAAAACUUAUAUUCUAUGAAGUUGUUAUUUUGCUACGUGCGGUCCUGUUUUAGCAAUAAGUAUCCAUACCGUGCCGUGUAUGGACUCAUGAACCUGGUUAUUAUGCAGGCAAAGAAUCAUUUUUGAAAUUAUUUUUGUGUCCGUUUCAUCAGUCUGUGUGUAGCUGCAGUGACUAUACAGACAAUAGCUUACGUGCCUUGUCGAAGCUCUUUAUGUGCAAGUCUUUUGCUGAUGAUUUAAGUGUUCAGAACAGAUGUACAGGUAUACACGUGAUGGCACAAAAAAUGCCAAAGACGGACCAUCAUUACUUUGCAAGAGUGAACUAGUACAUGGCUCAUUUGCUGAGGCUUAUGUCUGUCAUAGUGUUAUUCCACGUCUGUGUGAAAGUCUUAGCCUGAGCCGCCGACUCAAACGAUGUAACUCAAUUUAUCUUCCAUUUACAUGUACUCUUAAAACGGUUUCUGAGUGUUCUACUGUCACAGCUCUAGUACGUGCUCACAUUUAGAAGCUCAGUCUUCGAUUAUUGAGGUGCUGGGGUUUUUUGAAUGGUCAGUGAAUGACAAAUGUAUGUCAGAUUAUUGUACAAUCAACAUCAAAAAUGAAGAUGGUGAAAAAAUGUUCAAACCAUCUAAAAAAAUCUUAAAUUUAAAUCCAGUCACAAGCAUUUCAUAAGUUAUUUCCCUACAUGUAUGGACCAUGUGAUCAGUGGAACUUCUACCAAUCAUGCACAUAAUUUCAUGUUCAUUUUGUUGGAAAAUAACCUAUUUUCACAUGACAACAGUUUGAACAUGGAUGUAUUAGCUUAAAGAGGUGGUUCAACAACAAACAUAUUACACUCCAUGAUCACUUAGUAAAAAUGCAUUCUCAUGUACAGACCAUAACAUCCUGUUGUUGGCUUGACUGAUGACUCUUCUGUCAUGGCCGAUUGGUGCAAAGCAAUAAAAGUGAAUACAUGGUGAUUUUCUUCUGUCUUUAUUUUAAAACCACACUGAGCUUUAUGGGAGAUCUUAAAAUGCUCAUGCUAGUUUAGUUCUUAGGUGGUGAAGAAGUGAUCUCGUCUCAGAUGGAUCAUGGACUUCCAUCAUAGUUAGCUCCCCAGUAUAGAAGUCAUGUCUAUAAUUACUUUCUAGCUUUUUGCAGAUCUGUCAGAUGUCCGAUGAAAGACAGAAAUGCUAAAGGUCCGAGAUGUUUAGAAACUUUAAGUUUAAAAGUAAAAGAUUUCAAGGUUAGUGUAUACACAUAUCGGGCAGAGUCCUUGAAUGUCCCAUUUGUAACAUGUUCAUGUUAAAGGCAAAAGGUGGCAGCAGAGAUCUGUCUUACACACCACAGCACUGCUGGCUCAUUAAGUUACUGUGUAACAAUCAUUGACACACAGGUGUGUUCACUUAUUUGACUAAUUAGACUCUGAGGCCUGUGUGGACAUGUGCAGAUUGUGUUUGAUUGACAUUUCCUUCGCUGAUAGGAAUCCUGUUAGUGCAGGAAACAUUAACCCUGAGC
Cottoperca gobio is the source of this 3618-nucleotide long non-coding RNA. The record is from Ensembl. NCBI's taxonomy places the organism in Eukaryota, Metazoa, Chordata, Actinopteri, Perciformes, Bovichtidae.